AGUGGAGUGGCUUAGUGGCAAGAGCACGGGCUUGGGAGUCAGAGGAUGUGAGUUCUAAUCCUGCCUCCGCCA
Ornithorhynchus anatinus (platypus) is the source of this 72-nucleotide non-coding RNA. The record is from Rfam. Lineage: Eukaryota; Metazoa; Chordata; Mammalia; Monotremata; Ornithorhynchidae.